RNA transcript from Salvia splendens (bonfire salvia), 2084 nucleotides. RefSeq lists it as uncharacterized. The transcript has 7 exons. NCBI's taxonomy places the organism in Eukaryota, Viridiplantae, Streptophyta, Magnoliopsida, Lamiales, Lamiaceae. The record is from RefSeq and is a predicted model, not a curated record.
UAGUAUUGAUAGAUUGUUGGAUACGCUAUAUAGUAGUAGAUCAAAUGAGCCACUCGAGAAAUUUCGAAAUUCGGCCCGCCAUUUCCUUUCCUAUCGAAAUAGAAGGUCACCAGUCACCAAAUCGACUGAUCGAAACCCUAAAAUCAACCUCGUUGCUCGAUGAAAUUGAGGAAGUCCUAUCUGCAUUUGAGGUUUGGUUAGAACGUCGACAGCAAUGACUUUGGGCGAUCUCAACAAAGUAUGGGAAAUCAAAACCCUAAAGCGGAAACCCAAAGAGGAAGAGGCGCGAAAGAUUUUAGACAGAAUUGCAAAUCAGGUUCAGCCCAUCAUGCGUAAGCAUAAUUGGAGGGUCAAAGUGCUCUCUGAAUUCUGGCCAAAAAAUCCGGUACUACUAGGCGUGAAUGUAGGACGUGGUAUACAUGUCAAGCUGAGACUCAGGAGGUCAGACAGAGAUGAGGAAUUUCUUCCUUACCAUGAAGUUCUGGAUACAAUGCUGCACGAGCUGUGUCACAAUGUUCAUAGCCCUCAUAAUGCUAGUUUCUACAAGCUCUGGGAUGAGAUUAGGAAGGAGUGUGAAGACUUAAUAAACAACGGGAUCAGUGGAACAGGACAAGGAUUUGAUCUUCCUGGAAGGCGUUUGGGUGGGGCCUCUCAUAAACCCCGUCUGUCAUCUCUUCGCCAGGUUGCACUUACUGCUGCAGAAAAUAGGGUGCGUCUUCAGUCCUUGCUGCCUUCAGGACCUAAUAAAAUUGGUGGUGAUAGCUCUGUUAUGUUUGCCCUGAGUCCUGUUCAAGCUGCUGCUAUGGCAGCAGAAAGAAGAUUGCAGGAUAAUAUAUGGUGUGGGUCGGAAUUCUAUGAUUUAACUGGAGAUGAUGACUGUACUGAUUUAAUGAAGGAUGGUGUUCCAGAUAAACCAUGCUGUUCUAAAAUUUCAAAAACUGCAUCUAAUGAACAUGAUAUGAAUGUAAAAUCGCUGAAAAGAAGACGAGAAUCGGAUGAAGUUUCUUUAGUCCAGUCUGGUGAGGGACAACCAAAGCCCAUUUUAAUAGACCUGACAAAUACAGCUUCAGAAAAUCGGUCAACGUGCUAUCCAGAUAAAAUGCAUCCUAGUAAAGAUUACAUUAAAUAUUCACUUGGAGAAGCUUCAGCGUCAUCAUCCCUUCCUAGCCAUGACCAAAUACAUGAAACUAGUUCUGGUACAUGGCAGUGUACAACAUGCACUUUGUUGAAUCCAGUUAUUCUACUUCUUGCUGAUGUUUUCUUUUUAGUUGAUUCCCCGUUGGCCCCAAUAUGCGGCCUAUGCACAGCAGAAAAGCCCAAAAAAGAUAAGAUGAAAAGUCAUAGGUGGUCCUGCAGAUUUUGUACUUUGGAAAAUGAUUUGAAUAUGGACAAAUGUGAUGCGUGUGGGUCCUGGAGAUAUUCUUAUGGUCCACCUAUUGCUACUUCAGCACCCAAUCUUGGAACAUGAGUGUUUAUGUGUCAUGUCCCCCUAGUCAGUCAUUCUGGUUUCAAUUAAAAUUAGGGGAUGUAAGUUGUUAACAUGCAACCAAUCUUGGAAGAACUAUGCAUCAUUAUUUAUUUCCAGCAAUGAUAUAUUGAUGCCAAAGUGAAUGCGCACUCUAUCAGAAAGGGAAAAAAAGUUCAAUAUAGCUGAGAGUUAAAGAAUAGUUGUACAUCUGAUAUUCUAAAUUGUGCCUAGUUAUGUAAAGUAGAAUAAUAUACUCCAUCUAGUUAUAUAGGCUUUAAAUCAUUGGAACAUGGUCUUGUAUGCUCAAUCUUAGCCACUGCUUGCCACCGAUGAAUGUUAAAUCAGGAUAUGAGGUUGUGCUUCCUGGUGAGUGAGUAAGGUCUUUCGACGAUGCUGCUCUUCCACAUUUCUAUCAGCUCCCUUGCCUCGACACAUCUACACCCCAAACGACAGAGCCCUUGCCUCGUUACAUUGUUGUGUUUCUUUUUCCCUUUGCAUUGAUAAAUGGACAGAUGAUAAUACUUAAAUGCAAACCUGGAGCAGGAACUUGUCUGCAGUUGUGCCAUUGAAACAAUGGAAGUUAAUUUAGCAAUUUACAUAUGUUCAGUCUCUUUAA